This 201-nucleotide microRNA precursor is filed under the name Oryza sativa Indica Group (long-grained rice). RNAcentral describes it as "MIR812 microRNA precursor family". It matches the Rfam family "MIR812 microRNA precursor family". The record is from Rfam by way of RNAcentral. Lineage: Eukaryota; Viridiplantae; Streptophyta; Magnoliopsida; Poales; Poaceae.
AAUAAGUGCAGCCGUAGAAAUCCGUAUCCAACGUUUAACCGUCCGUCUUAUUUGAAAAAUUUAUGAUUUUUUUUUAAAAAAAUUAUAAAGUACUAUUUAUAUUUUAUCAUCUAAUAACAAUAAAAAUAGUAAUUAUAAAAAAAUUUCAAAUAAGACGAACGGUUAAACGUUGGAAAUGAAUAGUAUAAAACUACACUUAUU